AUCAGCUUGUUGGUGAGGUAACGGCUCACCAAGGCGACGACGGGUACCGGGGCUGAGAGGUUGACCCGGCGCAUCGGGACUGAGACACUGCCCGGACUCCUACGGGAGGCUGCAGCACCGAAUAUUCCACAAUGGGCGAGAGCCUGAUGGAGCGACGCCGCGUGUGGGAGUAAGCCCUUCGGGGUGUAAACCACUGUCAGGGAUCACCAAGCGACCGGGGCGAACAGUCCCGGAAGUUGAGGAGUCCCAGAGGAAGUCACGGCUAACUUCGUGCCAGCAGCCGCGGUAAGACGAAGGUGGCGAGCGUUGCUCGGAAUUACUGGGCUUAAAGAGCACGUAGGUGGGCUUGCAAGCGUCUUGUGAAAGCCCCCGGUUUACCCGGGGAAUUGCAGGGCGAACUGCCAGCCUUGAGGGCGUGUAAGGGCGAGUUGGAACUCUUGCGUGGAGCGGUGGAAUGCGGUAGAUGUCAAGAGGAACGCCGGAGGGUUGAAGACGAACUCGCUGGGCCUGUCCUGACACUGAGGUGCGAAAGCCAGGGGACGCAACGGGAUUAGAUACCCCCGGUAGUCCUGGCCUUAAACGAUGUCCACUAGGUCGGAGGCCUUCUGACAGGCUUCUGGCUGCAAGAAAACCAUUAAGUGGACCGCCUGGGGAGUACGGUCGCAAGGCUAAAACUCAAAGGAAUUGACGGGGGCUCACACAAGCGGUGGAGCAUGUUGCUCAAUUCGAUGCAACGCGAAGAACCUUAUCCUGGGCUUGACAUGUUCGGAUGCCUCCCUGGAAACAGGGUUGGUUGCCCUUCGGGGUGAAACGUUCACAGGUGCUGCAUGGCUGUCGUCAGCUCGUGUCGUGAGAUGUUGGGUUAAGUCCCGUAACGAGCGAAACCCUUGUCGCUAGUUGCCUAGCGAGUUAUGUCGGGGACUCUAGCGAGACUGCCGGUGUCAAACCGGAGGAAGGUGGGGAUGACGUCAAGUCCUCAUG
RNAcentral lists this ribosomal RNA (981 nucleotides) under uncultured organism. Its description in RNAcentral is "bacterial SSU rRNA". It matches the Rfam family "Bacterial small subunit ribosomal RNA", at positions 240 to 1197 of the family's 1533-position model. The record is from RNAcentral.